RNAcentral lists this non-coding RNA (31 nucleotides) under Homo sapiens (human). The record is from RNAcentral. Lineage: Eukaryota; Metazoa; Chordata; Mammalia; Primates; Hominidae.
UGGGAAACCUCCAUACAGUUAUGCCAGCCUC